RNAcentral lists this transfer-messenger RNA (348 nucleotides) under Streptococcus oriscaviae. RNAcentral's name for it is "Standard tmRNA". It matches the Rfam family "transfer-messenger RNA". Rfam says of the family: Bacterial tmRNA, also known as 10Sa RNA or SsrA, is named for its dual tRNA and mRNA-like properties. Its role is to liberate the mRNA from a stalled ribosome. Lineage: Bacteria; Bacillati; Bacillota; Bacilli; Lactobacillales; Streptococcaceae. The record is from RNAcentral.
GGGGUCGUUACGGAUUCGACAGGCAUUAUGAGGCUUGUUCUGCAACCCGAAUGGCGGCGUAACCGCUCAGUUUAAAUAUAACUGCAAAAAAUACAAACACUUACGCAUUAGCAGCUUAAUAACCUGCCUGCGUGACUGGUCACAGAUUGCUUGCGUUUGUUGAUUGGUCUUAAUUUAGCGAGCUACGUUAGAACUGAGUCAGGCUGUUCUAAAAGAGAUAAACUGACUCGCCUGCUGUCGGCUUGAGUUAUGUGCCGGCAACUGGUUAAAUCAAGACAUAACCUAUGGUUGUAGACGAAUAAGUUAGCAGGUGUUUGGACGUGGGUUCGACUCCCACCGGCUCCAUCA